CCCUUAGAUGUUCUGGGCUGCACGCGUGCUACACUGAUAUUGCCAAUAUGUCAUUCUUAUCCGAAAUGGAUUGGGUAAUCAAGUAAUGAAAUUUCAUGCUUGGAAUCGGUAAUUGCAAUUUUAUCGUGAACGAGGAAUUCCUAGUAAGCACUAGUCAUCAGCUAAUGUUGAUUAUGUCCCUGCCCUUUGUACAAACCGCCCGUCGCUACUACUGAUUGGGUGUUCAAGUGAGAUGCUUAGACCCUUGUUGCAUGGUUCAUUAUUGUGCUCCGAAAGGAAAAAGUUUCAAGCUUGAGUGUCUAGAGGAAGUAAAAGUCGUAACA
RNAcentral lists this ribosomal RNA (323 nucleotides) under uncultured eukaryote. RNAcentral's name for it is "partial 18S ribosomal RNA". It matches the Rfam family "Eukaryotic small subunit ribosomal RNA", at positions 1470 to 1796 of the family's 1831-position model. The record is from RNAcentral.